Molecule: ribosomal RNA, 657 nt
Filed under: uncultured organism
Description: bacterial SSU rRNA
Rfam family: Bacterial small subunit ribosomal RNA
Source: RNAcentral
CGGCGCGCUUACGCAUGCAAGUCGAGCGAUGAGGUCCCUUCGGGGAGUAAUCAGCGGCAGACGGGUGAGUAACACGUAGGUAACCUGCCCUCAAGGCGGGGAUAACGCCUGGAAACGGGCGCUAAUACCGGAUGACCUUAGUUGGGGAAGAUCCGAUUAAGGAAAGGCUAUGGCGCUUGAGGAGGGGCCUGCGGCCCAUCAGUUAGUUGGUAGGGUAACGGCCUACCAAGGCGAAGACGGGUAGGGGGUGUGAGAGCACGGCCCCCCACACUGGGACUGAGACACGGCCCAGACUCCUACGGGAGGCAGCAGCGGGGAAUAUUGCGCAAUGGACGGAAGUCAGACGCAGCGACGCCGCGUGGGUGAAGAAGGCCUUCGGGUUGUAAAGCCCUUUUCUGAGGGAAGAGAAAGGACGGUACCUUAGGAAUAAGCGUCGGCUAACUACGUGCCAGCAGCCGCGGUAAGACGUAGGACGCGAGCGUUAUCCGGAUUUACUGGGCGUAAAGCGUGUGUAGGCGGCGUGACAAGUUGGGCGUGAAAGACCCGUGCUCAACGCGGGGAGGACGCACAAUACUGUCAGGCUAGAGGGCACCCGAGGGGUGUGGAAUUCCCGGAGUAGCGGUAAAAUGCGCCGAUAUCGGGGAGGAACACCGGUGG